GACGUACCACCCGAACGUUAUUCGGAUUCACUGGGCUUACAGAGUCCGUAGGCGGUCAAGAAAAUUAGGCGUGAAAUCCCUCAGCUCAACUGAGGAAUAGCGCUUAAAACUACUUGGCUAGAGAGAGUCAGAGGUGAGCGGAACUGAUGGUGGAGCGGUGAAAUGCGUUGAUAUCAUCAGGAACACCGGUGGCGAAAGCGGCUCACUGGGGCUUUUCUGACGCUGAGGGACGAAAGCUAGGGGAGCGAACGGG
Molecule: ribosomal RNA, 253 nt
Filed under: uncultured bacterium
Lineage: Bacteria
Description: partial 16S ribosomal RNA
Rfam family: Bacterial small subunit ribosomal RNA
Source: RNAcentral